GCUGGAGUCUCAAAGCAGGAAGCCUAUUGGCUUUGGUUUCCUUCAGUGAAAUCUGGGAUCAAGAAUAAUCUCAUCUGGGGUGGCCAGCCACUCUGGACUCACGGUUUCCAGGGUCUUCUGAGUAUAUACAACCAUCCUCCAGACUGCAAAAAACACGAUAUUUACUCUGACAAAGCCACAAGAGCCCCAGGUUUAUGUCCAUGAAAGAUCAGACAGAAUCCAGAGCAGCGACUCAUCAGUGGUGACUGACAACCUGAUGUGCAACUAAUGUGUGAGUCCCUUUUCUGACCCUUCUGUGUCAGUAUGUCUUUCCUCUGCCCUUCCAUCUGUUUAGUGGGUCCACUGUGGGGUGAGACAGUUUUGUUGCAGGGGACUUGGGUCCAGCUGGCUGGAAUUAUCAUAGGUUUCAUUCCUGAUUUGGUGUGUUCUAGGAUGGAAAAGACACUUCCUCUUUGCUUCUGACCUCUUUCCAGAACAAAUAAAAACACACACCAAAAAGCCACUCCCGGGAAGAUGAAACAACAUAGUCACCCCUGGAUCCCCAGGGGCAACUUCAGAGGGCUUCCAUUAGCAGGGUGGAUGAGCUAUUUUCCCAGGAUAUUAAAUGUGAGAAGCUUUGAGCAUGUAUCUGGUGAGUCACACCAGUGUUUUAGAGUCUGACAAGGAUCGUUACUGAAAUACAUAAUGCAACCAUCAUCAGCAUAUGGGGACUCAUACAUUGUAGAGAUACUGAUCUGCUCUACCCUUUUAAGUCUUCAUGCAACUAAAGGGGAAGAUCCCCUCAAAUAGGUUGUUCUCUUUCCUAACCCUAAGAAGAGUCUUUCUUUAAAAUAAGUUCUCCUGUAUGACUGUAAGAUAGGAUUGAUGGGAAAGGAAGGGACAAGGAAUUAGUAUUUUCUGAGUGACUACUGGAUUCCAGCUCAUGAAUGGCCAGGGAAAUGGCAUUCUCACCUGAGCAGGGCUCCUCCAUUAGACUAGUGUAGGAAGCCCAAGGGGAGGAUGGCACAUGGUUAGGACUCGCCCAGGGACCAGGCACAGUGGCUCAGGUCUGUAAUCAUAACAACUUUGGGAGGCUGAGGCAGAAGAAUUAUAUGAGCCUAGGAGUUCGAGACCAGCCUGGGCAACAUAGUGAGACCCUGCUUCUACAAAAAAUAGAAACUAGCUGGGCGUGGUGGCACAUGCCUGUAGUCCCGUUACUUGUGGGGCUGAAGUGGAAGGAUCAUUUGAGCCCAGGAGGUAGAGACUGCAGUGAGCAGUGAUAACACCAUUGUGCUCCAGCUUGGGUGACAGAGUGAGAUCCUGUUUCAAAAGAAAAAAAAAAAAAAGCUCGGGGUAGUGGUAGUGGCUCAUGCCUAUAAUCCCAGCACUUUGAGAGGCCAAGGCAGAAGGAUCACUUGAGUUCAGGAGUUCAGGAGACCAGCCUGGGCAUCAUGGUGAGACCUCAUCUCUAAAAAAAAAAAAAAGAAAAAAAAAAAAAAAGACAAGCCUAAAGUCACACCGCCCAGUUCAUAUUCUAAUUCUGUCACCUACAAGCAAUGUGGCUUUGGGAAAAUUGUUUAAUCUCUUUGCAACUCAAUGUCCUCACUAAAAUGGGAGAAUUGAAUGGAGAUUUCUCAAAACUAAAAAUAGGACUACCAUUCAAUCCAGCAAUCCCACUACUGGGUAUCUACCAAGAGGAAAAGAAAUCAAUAUAACAAAUAAAUACCUGCACUUGCAUGUUUAUUGCAGCACUAUUCAAUACCACAAAGACAUCAAAUCAACCUAAGAGCCCAUCUUUGGACAAAUGGAUAAAGAAAAUGUGCUGUAUAUAUACAUAAUGGAAUAUUAUUCAGCCAUAAAAAAGAAUGAAAUCCUGACAUUUGCAGCAACAUGGCUGGAAGUGAAGGUCAUUAUCUUAAGUGAAAUAAGCCAGUCACAAAAAGAUUAAUACCACAUAUUCUCACUGACACGUGGGAGCUAAAAAAUCUGAUCACAUGGAGAUAGAGAAUGAAAAGAUGGAGAACAGAGACCAGGUGGGGUGAGUGGCAGGGUCAGGGAGAGGUUGAAGAGAAGUGGGCUAAAGGCUACAAGCCUACAGUUAGAUAGAAGGAGUAAAUCCAGCAUUUGAUAGCAGUA
This 2115-nucleotide long non-coding RNA is filed under the name Homo sapiens (human). RNAcentral describes it as "HSALNT0160878". Lineage: Eukaryota; Metazoa; Chordata; Mammalia; Primates; Hominidae. The record is from RNAcentral.